UACGUAGGUCCCGAGCGUUGUCCGGAAUUACUGGGUGUAAAGGGUGCGCAGGCGGUCUUGUGCGUCAGAGGUGAAAUAUCACGGCUCAACCGUGAGGGUGCCUUUGAUACGGCAAGACUUGAGUACGAGAGAGGGUGAUGGAAUUCCUGGUGUAGCGGUGAAAUGCGUAGAUAUCAGGAGGAACACCGGUGGCGAAGGCGGUCACCUGGCUCGUUACUGACGCUCAGGCACGAAAGCGUGGGGAGCAAACAGG
This 253-nucleotide ribosomal RNA is filed under the name uncultured bacterium. RNAcentral describes it as "partial 16S ribosomal RNA". It matches the Rfam family "Bacterial small subunit ribosomal RNA", at positions 524 to 776 of the family's 1533-position model. The record is from RNAcentral.